Molecule: unclassified non-coding RNA, 2820 nt
Filed under: Hevea brasiliensis (rubber tree)
Lineage: Eukaryota; Viridiplantae; Streptophyta; Magnoliopsida; Malpighiales; Euphorbiaceae
Source: RNAcentral
GCAAAAACCAAUCCACACCACUCAGUGCCAGCUUUCCCCCUCCCCAAAAAAAACAACUACAAGGACAAAAUAUAGGAGCAAAGCAACACGAGAAGAGUUACCAACAGAGGAUCAUUUCAAGGACUUGUUGAGGGAGGGCUGUAGAUGGAAUCAGAGAGCUUCAUUAACUUUGGAGCACAAUAUAUGAUAUGCCUGAUCAACUCUAUUGCACAACAAGAUGUAUUAGCGCCUAUCUGAUCAAAUUGAUAAAAAAAAAAAAAUUCAAACAGCAUAUCUAGGAAGCUCUGAAGAAACAGAUUGUCUGGGUGGUGUAGUUGGUUAUCACGCUAGUCUCACACAUACUUCUAAUCUUUUUUUGCUCCGAUCUUAAACCAAAUCUUCAGAGGCAAAUCACAAAGACACCCACAAAAUCUGCUAAGAUUUCACAUCCUCAUCUUUCAGUACUCCAAACAAAGAUGCAAAUUCAAUAUUUUUCACUCUCAAAUCGCACUCUUGGACUGCCCAAUUUAUCACAUUCUCAUAUGCGCUCAUCUUUUGCACCAGCUCCUGGUCUCUCUAUUCCUGGGUUCAGAUUUCAUUCCAAAUUUGGGUGUUGCAAUUCAGUCAAAAGGUUAUCCAAAUCACUUGGUGUUUUGAGAAGAUAUGGUGGAUUGGUUAUGAUCAGUUGUGGAGUGUUAGCAAAUGAUGGUAGUGAUGAAGGUAAAGACGAUGGGUUUUAUAUGAGGAGGUGUGUGGAACUGGCAAAGAAGGCAAUUGGGUGUACAAGCCCUAAUCCUAUGGUGGGCUGCGUCAUUGUCAAAGAUGGCAAGAUUGUUGGUGAAGGGUUCCACCCAAAAGCUGGUCAGCCUCAUGCUGAGGUAACCCCGCGUUCCUUCCCUUUUGUCUCCACAUUUCGUUUGCCAUUAAAUCUGACUGAUUGUUUUGAUCUUUGGUCUCGUUUACAUGUAUUGAGUGUCUCUUUGUUGUGGAUAAAUCUCGUUUUCUGAUGUUCAAUUAAUAGUGGUUGGAUCUAAAAAUUGCGAGUAUUGAGUUUGUUAUCCAGGGCACCCAAGACGGAGUCUGGGCGUGUUUAGAAGAAAUUUCUUCUUUCGACCUUAGGUGAUCAGAUAACCUUCAUAAAAGCUCUGGGAUUGGUAAUUCUUGCCUGAUUUAAAUUAUUGAUGAAUGUGUUUAGCAUUCUUUUGAGAAAACACUGAAGCUUAAGCUUGAAAAUGAAGAAAGAGCAAGCAUUCGAUUUGAAAUGUAUAUUCUACCUUUGAAUUGCUGACUUAUGCAACUAAUAUGCAUCUUUCCUAUUCUUGUACAAUAUGGUGUCUACUUUUCAAAUCAGUGUCUUUUCUUGACAAACUGUUGUCAGAUAAUUUGGUUCAGGUAUUUGCUCUGAGAGAUGCUGGAGAUUUGGCUGAGAAAGCAACAGCUUAUGUGAGCUUAGAGCCGUGCAAUCACCACGGGAGAACUCCACCCUGCACUGAAGCCCUCAUUAAAACCAAAGUUAAGAAGGUGGUAAUUGGAAUGGUUGAUCCAAAUCCAAUUGUGGCUUCAACAGGGGUGGAUAAACUGAGACAUGCAGGCAUUGAUGUAGUUGUAGGUGUAGAAGAAGAAUUGUGCAAGAGGCUCAAUGAGGCCUACAUCCAUCAAAUGCUGACUGGAAAACCUUUUGUUACACUCAGCUUCUCGUUCUUCUCCAAUGAAAAUCCGUUCUGUAGAGGAAGAAGCAGCAUCCAAAAUGAUUAUAUUUACAGACAAAGAGACAACUGUCGAACCAGUAACAGCUCAAAAAGGAAUUGAAACUGUGGUAUUGGAUGGGAUAUGCUUGAAUGAAAUUUUGGAAUAUUGUAAGCGUCGGGGACUGUGCAGCAUUUUACUGGAUUUGAGGGGAAGUUUUGAUGAGCUUGAAGGACUUCUUAAUGAUGGUAUUGAGCAGAAUACGUUGCAAAAAGUCAUGGUGGAAGUAUUGCCAUUGUGGGUUGAAAAUAGUACCAAGAGUUCUUUUGUGGCUUUGAAGAGAGUUCAGAAAAGACUAAAAGUAAAUAAUCUACAGCCCAGGAUCUCACAUCAGAGCAUUAUAUUGGAGGGUUAUCUUUAGUGCAAGUUGUCUGAACUCAAGGAGACAGCACAUAAAUUUUCGAGCAGAGCCCAUGUCGAGCGUACCAUGUACUCCAUUUCACUUGGAGCUUCAAGAAUAGAAAUAUAGAAUGGAAAGGUUUAUUUCAUGCUUCCCUUAUUCCUUUGCUUACAUGGAGAAACAGUAGCAUAAUGCUCUGAAAGGUCCUGAACCAACAAAUUUGACCUUCCCUACAUUUUCGAUUGCACGCUGCUUUAAUACUAUGUUUGCAAAUUUUCAGAUGCCUGAAGAGAUUUUCCCUUUUUUUUUAGCAGCUUAUGUGUUAACAACAAGCUGGACUGAGAACUUUCUUGAGAUAUGUUCACUCUUAUGCCUUAUUUUGGUAGCUUCACCAUAUUAAUGCCUGGGGCAUUAAAGCUUUAUUUUGCAGGCAAUUCAUUGACCUGCCCCGGAGAUAAAUAUAAUGAGGAGUCUUCAUAAGAAGUUUAAACACAUAAUAAUACUUUUAUGUACAUGUAUCCACCUAUACACAUUAAAUUAUUACAUGAAUUUAAUUACAGAUGUCUAGUGUAUGCGGAUGCCUCAAGCAUUCGGACCAGCAUAUAUUCAUUUUUCCCACACUCAGGGUCAGACACUUCCAAGGUAUUCAAAACAGCAUUAGAGGAAUCGACAAUAUUGUCAAUGUAAGGAAUCUGUUAUGAGAAAUGAGUAAAGCAGUUAGGAGGUUAGUUCAGUAGUUAAAUAGGAAGAUUCUA